UUGCCCUUGGAAUGCAAUCCAGACUUCUGAUCUCAUCCCCAAGACUUUGCUUUCUCUGGCCCCUGCCUCUCCCUCCAACCUCAUCCUGUUCCUUGUCUUCCUUUGUCUAUUACACCACCGCCAAAUGACUAAGGCCACAUGACCAACUGCCUUAGGAUCUCUGGCCUUGCAUUUUUCAGGACCUCACCCUUAGACAUUAUUUUUAAUAACAUCACAGUUUUCAUUUCCUUGUUGUUGUUCUGUCGCUAAGUUGUGUCCUACUCUUUUUCAUUUCCUUAUGAAAGUCUGUUUGAAAUUCUUUUCUUGUUUAUGCUUGCUUACUGUUGGCCUCUCAGCCCAGAUUGUAAAUUCUAUAAAGGAAGGAAUUUAAUUGUGGCUCAUCCAGUAUUCAAGACAGUUUCCAACCCAUAGUUGGCAUUCCACAUAUACUUGUUCAAAUGGAAUGAAUGGAUGGAUGGACUGGGUGGAAGGAAGUCUGAUAAGUUAUGAUCGCCUUACUGUGAUUUCAUGUAUGAUGUUCUCUCUGCUGGGAAUGAUCUCCAUUUGCCAUCCUUUCCUUAUCUGACACAUCCUUCAAGGUCUAAAAUAAGGACCACCCCUUCUAGAAAAUCUUUCCUGUUCCCCUAAGCCAAAAACAAUUUUGUUUUGCUACUUACUAGUAGAAUAAUGAGGGUAUUUUAGUGAUAAACAAUUACACACUAUGUCUACAUUUUGAAUCAGCUUCUUAAUUCUAAUGAAUGGGGCAUAAUUCAUACUUUAUUUUUUAUAUCAUUAUGUAAUAAAGUAAUUUUGAAAAUGACACACGGGCCAGUUUGCAGCAAGAUGUGCUGUUUUGUUGCAGAGCGGGGAACAGUGGUUACCACCUCUUGCCUUGUUGUGGAGAGAGCUGAAUUCGCACGUGGUCAGUCCUCCAGUUAAAGCUUGUGACGGAUAUUGGCGGUGUGUGGCCAUUCUGGUGACUGUCUAUAUCUAUGGCAUGAGUGACAAUGCACCUUUUUAUGAUCAGUAUCUGAUUAGGUGAGCUGAGAUGACGGGUGGCUGAGAUAAAACAGAUACACAGCCCAAGAGAUGAUUGCAAAACUCCAGUGUCAUGACCUUGAUGAACCUCCUGAUUCAAUCCAUUAUGCUCCGAGCUUGGGGCCAGUUGGUUCUGGACAACUCUUUGAGCAAGUGCCAACUGCUGGAAAUUUCAUCCAGGUUGUAAAAGAAUUGGAUUAUAAGGACCCAGACAUAGUUCCAGCUGGCCAUAUCUAUGAAAUGACAGUUUCAGUAUUUGAUGACUUACAUCCCUCCUGUACAGGUAAGCUUGAUAAAUUUCCUGGAGCACUAAGUGCCUUUUCUUUAGACUGUGCACUUUAGAUUUUAAAAUGUAAAAAUUCACUAUAUUUGGGACAGUUCUGUUAAACUAGACAAAGGAGAAAGGGGAGACUUAGAUUCAUGUUGGAAGUUAUCAUUAGGUCUGCAAGUGUUGUUCAUCUCUUAGCACACCUUAUGCAAAACACAAUUCUUAAAUGUAGCUCUGGCUAGAGAUCCUUGGAGCUGGAAGUGGGGUGUGUUAGGGACACGCAGAGCCUAGUCCUAAAGCUUGUUACCGAAACAAUUUUAUGUCAGUAGUGUCUCAGUCCACUUCAGACUGGGUGACUUACACAUAACAGAAAGUUUUUUCUCACUGUUCUGGAGCCUGGCAAGUCCAUAUCAAGGCACUGUCAGACUUAGUGUCUAUAGAGGGUCUGCAUCCUGCUCUUAGAUGUUUGUCUUCUCACUGUGACUUCACAUGGCAGAAUAGGCAAGAGGGGCUCUCUGGGGUGUCUUUUUAAGAACGUUAAUCCCAUCAUGAGGGCUCCACUCUUAUGACCUCUCCAUCCUAGUACCAUCACACUGGGAGAAUAGGUUUUAGUAUAUAAAUUUUGGAGGAACAUAAAUAUUCAGUUCAUAGCAUUUAGUAAUGCCAAACACCUCUUAUUUGGAAAGAGCCAGCUAUUGGGUCACAUGUAGUCCAUGCAUAUGAGUAACAGGAUUUUCUUUGGGGGGGUUACAUGUAUCAUUAUUUUACCUGAUACAGGUAGAGCCAUUUUUAAUGCAAACGGUGGGACAGUGCCAGAUUCCACAGCUCAUUCCCUUUGUGAGGCCCUUGACAUUUGUGGAUUUAAGAGUCCUGGUGUUGCUAAUUGUAUAACACCCUCAGGCACAGAUUUAAAUUGUGUGCUGUGCAGUCAGAGUGCCUAGCUGGUGAAAUGAGCUUAGCCAAUCACCAGACACCUGCUUCUCUGCUAAUUGUUGUACAAAUGAGAACAUACAUUAAGUGGCUCAAUGGGUCAUUUAUGUGUUCAACAACAUAUUAUCACAUUUAAGAGUGAAUUUGUAGCUGUAGCGGUAGUUGUGAAAAUAAGGUUGCACAAGUUUGCAGAUACGUCUAUUAUUAAUGACCACUGUCUAUUUUAUAUGGAAAGUAUGGUAAUAAGUGGUCUAGGAGGUGGGUUGGCAUCUAAGAUGUCCAAAAAGAAGUGAGUGUUUGGGUGGAGAACACAGGGUUACUAGUAGAAUGUCAAUGCUUGCUACGGGAGAGCCUGCAAUAUGGACAGUGCUUGCGUUUCAUGUUUCAUCUCUUGUGCCAUCUCUAAGCAAUUGGUGGUAGUCGCCUGGGUCAUUGAAUUGAGAAGGAUUCUGAGGUUGCCUCUGAAAGCAGUGCAAAGAGUACUGUGUUAUGGAAUUAAGCAGGUGGCAUCAUGGCAGCAUCCACAUGUUUUGCAACUAAAAGAAAUUUAUUGCUGAACUUUCAGCAACAGGUCUAGAGCUCCUUAAAUCCCUCUUGACUCCCUGAUGUAAGAGUUUUAAUAGGAUUCAGUUUACAAACAUCAUUUGUAGACUUAAGUGAUCCAACUAUGUGGAUAAACGAUCUGUACAGGACAGGGACACAGCAUGACAGUAUGCCCAGAAGUUUUCUUAGGUCUUCUCUGCUCCCCACUGAUGGAGUUUCAUUGGUUCAUGCAAAAGCCUGUAACAUAGCUCAACAAACCUUUUAGGAAAAAUGCUUUUUCUUGUAGUUACUCAUCCUGAUGGCCUCACAAAUCAAAAUAGAAUCUGCCCUUUUCACCAGAGCUGAGCCUUUUUCCAAGAAGAAGAGAAAAAAAAAAUUUCUCAUGGUAAUAAAUCCACAUCUUCUCUGGUCCCCACACCCCAGUAUAUUCCCAGCAGCUGCUCAUAAAGAAUGCUUGUAACACCCCACAUGUGGUUCAGUCUAUUUUUAUAGGCCAAUCAAUUAGCACAAUUUUGAGUCUUUAUGGGUGCAAUAAAAAUCAUAGUAUGGCAAAGCUAUAAGUGGCAUCUGUUCUUAUGGCACAUAAAUGGAGUUUAUUGAGGGAAAUAUAGAGGCUUUCACAUAAAUCACCUGUCUCCACGCAAAAGUGUUUCUUACUUUUUCUUGGUGGUCAUACGUACCUUUGAGAUGCUGAGAAAGCUAUAGACCCUAUACCUAGGAAAACACACAUAAUAUAUACCAAAAUAAAAGGAAUGAAACAGAUUCUCUGAAAUCAAGAUUCUAUGGGUCCCAGAUUAAAUGUUCUUGUUUGAAAAUGCAUGGCAUAGACUUUCAAGAGAGACAAGAUACAAGCAUUCUUCAGAGCAUAGUUUCUACAAGAUGAUCAACUAGAAAAUACUCCACGGUCAAGAACAUUUGGGAAGUGUCAACUACAAAUGGGCACUUGCCAUUGGCAGCUGCCAUCUACCUCUGUAAGGGUUAAAGCUGAUUUUCAACAUGCCCUGAAAGGAGUUCAGGGUGGAGAACAGAAAUGAGGCACUCUGUGCUCAGG
Non-coding RNA from Odocoileus virginianus texanus, 3809 nucleotides. NCBI's taxonomy places the organism in Eukaryota, Metazoa, Chordata, Mammalia, Artiodactyla, Cervidae. The record is from RefSeq and is a predicted model, not a curated record.